RNAcentral lists this transfer RNA (76 nucleotides) under Corynebacterium striatum. Its description in RNAcentral is "tRNA-Ala". It matches the Rfam family "tRNA". Rfam says of the family: Transfer RNA (tRNA) molecules are approximately 80 nucleotides in length. Their secondary structure includes four short double-helical elements and three loops (D, anti-codon, and T loops). Further hydrogen bonds mediate the characteristic L-shaped molecular structure. tRNAs have two regions of fundamental functional importance: the anti-codon, which is responsible for specific mRNA codon recognition, and the 3' end, to which the tRNAs corresponding amino acid is attached (by aminoacyl-tRNA synthetases). tRNAs cope with the degeneracy of the genetic code in two manners: having more than one tRNA (with a specific anti-codon) for a particular amino acid; and 'wobble' base-pairing, i.e. permitting non-standard base-pairing at the 3rd anti-codon position. Lineage: Bacteria; Bacillati; Actinomycetota; Actinomycetes; Mycobacteriales; Corynebacteriaceae. The record is from RNAcentral.
GGGGCUAUGGCGCAGUUGGUAGCGCACUACACUGGCAGUGUGGGGGUCACGGGUUCGAAUCCCGUUAGCUCCACCG